UGUGCAUCAAUCAACCUAGGGAAGAGGGACCAAAAUAGCUGAUUACUUGGGCCAUAACACGCUAUCCUCGGAAUGAAACCCAAACUUUUCAGGGAGAAAUACAAGCAAACAUCAAGAAAAGAGGAGUCACCGUGACCCAUGCAGUACUCUCCCUGACACAUAGUCGAGGAUCAGAUAGCUCACAGGUAAUAAAUAGUUUCUUUGUAAAUAUAGAACAACUAUUCUCUUGCUUGAAUGUCCAUGCAGGGUGUA
This 252-nucleotide long non-coding RNA is filed under the name Calidris pugnax (ruff). Its description in RNAcentral is "lncRNA (ENSCPUG00000018794.1)". The record is from RNAcentral. Lineage: Eukaryota; Metazoa; Chordata; Aves; Charadriiformes; Scolopacidae.